Molecule: long non-coding RNA, 475 nt
Organism: Bombus terrestris (buff-tailed bumblebee)
Lineage: Eukaryota; Metazoa; Arthropoda; Insecta; Hymenoptera; Apidae
Exons: 3
Source: RefSeq, a predicted model, not a curated record
AUCGGUGGUUCAGUGGUAGAAUGCUCGCCUGCCACGCGGGCGGCCCGGGUUCGAUUCCCGGCCGAUGCAAAGUACUUUUUGCCUUAUUAAUUAUCCUUCGCGAGGGUGCGGCCUGAGAAAACUCUUUGAGGGCCUGCUGCAAAAAUAUGAUGCACAAUGCAAAUUUGUACUAUAAACUUGUAUGAAUCACUGUGUCUGCCGCACAUCGAUCCACUGUAGUAAAUACAACAAAUAAGUCUGGAGCUUUCGAACGGAUCUUAGAAGCCAAUAUCAACCAAAAGUAUUUAAAGCAUCGGUGGUUCAGUGGUAGAAUGCUCGCCUGCCACGCGGGCGGCCCGGGUUCGAUUCCCGGCCGAUGCAGCUUUUUCUUUUUUCUUUAUAAUUUUAUAGUAUGCUAUAAUUUUAACAGUUUUUUUUCAUAUAUCAUAGAAUAUAUUAUUGAUUUAUUAAAUAAACAUUACAAUUGUUACAAUAA